RNAcentral lists this small RNA (165 nucleotides) under Streptomyces aurantiacus. RNAcentral's name for it is "c-di-AMP sequence". It matches the Rfam family "c-di-AMP riboswitch aptamer (ydaO/yuaA leader)". From Rfam's summary of the family: This family represents a conserved RNA structure found upstream of the ydaO and yuaA genes in Bacillus subtilis and related genes in other bacteria. The ydaO/yuaA element is thought to act as a genetic "off" switch for the ydaO and yuaA genes in its native state. It is believed that the element may be triggered during osmotic shock leading to activation of ydaO, a predicted amino acid transporter gene, and members of the yuaA-yubG operon which code for KtrA and KtrB K+ transporters. Lineage: Bacteria; Bacillati; Actinomycetota; Actinomycetes; Kitasatosporales; Streptomycetaceae. The record is from RNAcentral.
CCGGAUGCCCGGUCGACAUCUGUGCAUCGGCAGGAGUGGAGGACCCAGUAAGGCGGGCCGUCCGGGAGACCGGCCGGUCCUUGGGGUGAAGUCGUACGCGACCGGGCAUCUUCGCCUGCCCGAACCCGACAGGUCAUCCUUCACAGGCGGCUGACGAAGGGUUGC